RNAcentral lists this ribosomal RNA (489 nucleotides) under uncultured bacterium. RNAcentral's name for it is "bacterial SSU rRNA". It matches the Rfam family "Bacterial small subunit ribosomal RNA", at positions 30 to 518 of the family's 1533-position model. The record is from RNAcentral.
AUUGAACGCUGGCGGCAUGCCUUACACAUGCAAGUCGAACGGUAACAGGUCUUCGGAUGCUGACGAGUGGCGAACGGGUGAGUAAUACAUCGGAACGUGCCCGAUCGUGGGGGAUAACGCAGCGAAAGCUGUGCUAAUACCGCAUACGAUCUACGGAUGAAAGCGGGGGAUCGCAAGACCUCGCGCGGACGGAGCGGCCGAUGGCAGAUUAGGUAGUUGGUGGGAUAAAAGCUUACCAAGCCGACGAUCUGUAGCUGGUCUGAGAGGACGACCAGCCACACUGGGACUGAGACACGGCCCAGACUCCUACGGGAGGCAGCAGUGGGGAAUUUUGGACAAUGGGCGCAAGCCUGAUCCAGCCAUGCCGCGUGCAGGAUGAAGGCCUCGGUUGUAACUGCUUUGUACGGAACGAAAAGCUACUCUCUAAUACAGGGGUGAAGUGACGGUACCGUAAGAAUAAGCACCGGCUAACUACGUGCCAGCCGACCC